Nerophis ophidion (straightnose pipefish) is the source of this 1401-nucleotide long non-coding RNA. RefSeq lists it as uncharacterized. The transcript has 4 exons. The record is from RefSeq and is a predicted model, not a curated record. NCBI's taxonomy places the organism in Eukaryota, Metazoa, Chordata, Actinopteri, Syngnathiformes, Syngnathidae.
UUGAACACGCACACACACAGCAGGAAUGCGUCUACACGUAUUUCCAUUUCCGUCUCUAUCCCGUCAUGCCUUCCUCAUGUCAGCGUACACAGUAACAAUGUUCGUCUUGUUCUGGGCGGCCCUCCAGCUCUGCAUAGCUUCCAAUGGGUGCCCCCUCCCCUCCUGCUAGAAAAGUGUAGGUGGCACUGGGAGAAGGUGCCCAAGGACACAACAACAGUGACUAGAAUGGCGGAAGCGGGUAUCGAACCUGCAACCCUGAUGUUGCUGCCACGGCCCCUCUACCAAGCGAGCUGUACCGCCUGGUAAGAUUUGUACAAUAACUGUUUUGUUGACGACUUCACUUCCCAUGCAUAUUAUUUUUGUUUUGUGUACUAAUUGGCAAAGAGCUGGUUGUUCAAUGUCUAAAUACGUACUCCAGCUAUACUAACACUUUUAUUUGUAGAUAUCGUUUGGCUUUUUAGAUAUUUCUUCUUUCGUGUACUGCUUGGAGGUAAACUGCAGAAAACGCAAGGACACAACUAGUUUGCUGUCUAAAGAAGACCACCAUGACAUGAGAUGCAGAGAGUAAACCAUGCCAAUGCUAGAUUUUCCCCACAUUGUUUCAUCAUUAUUUCAUAUUGUUUGUGUCUUGUCUAAGUCGUGCACAAUUCAACCAAUAGAGGCUUCAAUUAUGCUGCUUAAAGAAGUGGAGAUAGGCGAACGCUGGAUUUUUGGAGAAGAAGAGGCCUCCCUGUCUUGCCUUUUCCCUCAAAGACAUGGAAGUCAUAUCCUGCCCAUACCCUUUCCUCUCGCCGCUAACCCAAACAAGGCGGGAAUGCCGAGAAAGACGAGGAACACUGAGGGCGCUCUGUUCAGGACUUGAGCUGGAACCAAUAGGAGGCGAGGAGAAGGAAAAAGGGGGCGGGGCUGGUUGCACUAUGGAGCCACAGCUGCAGCUGCAAUGACUUCCUAUUGUUUCCACUCACUGAAAGCCACUUUCUCCUUUUUUUUUUGCUGCCGGGCCCGAGCCAGCUGGUCGUCUGGCGUGGGGUCAUUGUUUGAACCCGGAGCACUGACAGACGCGACUAAAUGAGCCCUCCACCCACCGCCCACCUCUACUCAUCCCCAUCAUUGUGUAGCUUAGUUACACCAAGCAGUUUUGCUAUUUUGUAGAAUUUUUUCGCAUCCCCAUGGUUAAAAUUGUUAAAAGCAUCGAUAUAACUUGUUAUACCUGUGCGAUUUAAGCGCGAAGAGAUGAUGGAAACAGUAAAUUACUACAACUACUACUUUCUUCUUUAAAAAUGAUGACUUUUGCCUCAUAAAAUAGCAUUUUUUUCUUGUAAAAUUAUAACUUAAAUUACUAUUUUUUCCAAUAAAAUGUUUACCUAUUCUUCAAUGGAUGCCUGAUGAGAUGUCAUAUAA